This 251-nucleotide ribosomal RNA is filed under the name uncultured bacterium. Its description in RNAcentral is "partial 16S ribosomal RNA". The record is from RNAcentral.
UAGAGUUUGAUCAUGGCUCAGCCUUUGACUUAAAAAAUGGAGAAGUCGUAACAGGUAGCCGUAAGUCGUAACAAGGUAACCGUAGAGUUUGAUCAUGGCUCAGGAAAGUCGUAACAAGGUAACCGUAAGUCGUAACAAGGUAACCGUAAGUCGUAACAGGGUAGCCGUAGAGUUUGAUCAUGGCUCAGGAAAGUCGUAACAAGGUAGCCGUAAGUCGUAACAAGAUAACCGUAGAGUUUGAUCCGUGAGCA